UGGGGAAUAUUGCACAAUGUGGGAAACCCUGAUGCAGCGACGCCGCGUGAGCGAAGAAGGCUUUCGAGUCGUAAAGCUCUGUCCUAUUAGAAGAUAAUGACGGUAUCAUAGGAGGAAGCCCUGGCUAAAUACGUGCCAGCAGCCGCGGUAAUACGUAUGGGGCGAGCGUUGUCCGGAAUUAUUGGGCGUAAAGGGUACGUAGGCGGUUUUUUAAGUCAGGUGUCAAAGCGUGGAGCUUAACUCCAUUAAGCACUUGAAACUGAAAGACUUGAGUGAAGGAGAGGAAAGUGGAAUUCCUAGUGUAGCGGUGAAAUGCGUAGAUAUUAGGAGGAAUACCGGUGGCGAAGGCGACUUUCUGGACUUUUACUGACGCUCAGGUACGAAAGCGUGGGGAGCAAACAGG
Molecule: ribosomal RNA, 403 nt
Filed under: Verrucomicrobiota bacterium
Lineage: Bacteria; Pseudomonadati; Verrucomicrobiota
Description: Verrucomicrobia bacterium partial 16S ribosomal RNA
Rfam family: Bacterial small subunit ribosomal RNA
Source: RNAcentral